UUACUGGCUUAUAUCGAGUGAAAACUCGAUUAUUUCUACUAGGGGACGAUAGUCUUAUUUUAAAGAGCGGAAGUUUGGCUACAAUUUUUGUUCGGCAAAAGUAUGAUCUACGACCGAUAGAUUCUGAAAUAUUGAUCUAUAUAGAAUAAUUAAUCUAGUAGAGAUUGAGACUUGAAAUUAGUCUCAAAUUAAAGCCCAGAUAUUGAGCGAUUUCUCCGUCCCCUUUUGAUUCAUUUUGAAGCGAGAAGAGUAUAGAUAUCGAUCGUUAAAGAUCGACAUUAAAUUCAAUGCGUAUAAAGAAAAUAAUAUUUUUUUUUAGGUAUGUUGUUUUUGCUUAUAAUUACUUUGUACUUGAAAACUCGUGAUACCGAUAUCGACAAAUAGCCAAUAAGCUCAAGCAAUUUUUCUGAUAAAAAUUCUAUUCACAAAAUAAUCGUUCUGAAAUUGAUAACUUUUAUUUUCCGUCUCUGACGCACGUUAUGCGACAAUUAGCGACCGGUUCAUAAGUAAAAUAACUGAUGAAUUUGAUGGUGAGGGCAAUCGUUAGCUAUUUAAAAUUCGCUUGCUGCUCCCAUUGAUUGCAUUGUCGACAGAAGUCACCAAAACCUUGACAAACAUCAACGAUCGUUUUAAAAGUCAACGAAAACAAUCAAAAUGUUCAAAAUUAUUUUACUGUUAUCAAUAUUUACGUUAUUGAUUGGGCUUGUGGUAAAUGAAGAGGAUUGUGUGGGUCACGGCGAAAAUUGUUUGAUGAAAAGGUGCUGUGAAGGAUUAGGUUGCAGUGGAUACACCUUCACAUGUUGGAGAUUGCAAAAUAAUAAUCGAACAUCAAAUUCGAGGUAUCAAUAAUUUAAUUUCAACAUCUAUUAAAUUAUUCCUUCAAUAAAAUUAUGUAAGACGCAUAAACAAAUGAAUAAAUAGUAUUGCGCUACCAAAAUAUAAAA
Long non-coding RNA from Microplitis mediator, 944 nucleotides. RefSeq lists it as uncharacterized. The record is from RefSeq and is a predicted model, not a curated record. NCBI's taxonomy places the organism in Eukaryota, Metazoa, Arthropoda, Insecta, Hymenoptera, Braconidae. The transcript has 4 exons.